This 5440-nucleotide non-coding RNA is filed under the name synthetic construct. The record is from RNAcentral.
GAACUUAUAAUGGACCCCUUUAAGAAACCAGUGAGAAUGUUGCCCAUAAAGGGGGCCCCGAUCUCUCGACCAAUAAGUGUUUUUACAUUUGACGUGUUUAACCCCCCGGACGAUUCCGAUGGGUCAUCAACUCCAGACUCAGUGUUUGAGGCGGAGACCAGCCCAGCAAGAACUCCUCCAACUCCCGCCUUGAUUCUACCCUAUGAUUAUGUGAGCAGUGAAGACUCUGAUGAUGAAGCACAAGAACAUGCGGAUAACCGGGACACUAAUGACCAGGUCAGCGAGUCAAGUACAAGUGAGGACUCUGAUUCAGAGUCUGAAAGUUCAUGUGACGAUACCCAGCAGACUUUCGUGGACGAUGAGUCCACCAGCUCUUCUGGCGAGGAAGACAGAGAUGAUCCUUUUGAGUCAAAUGACCAGGGCGCGCAGGGCGGGUCGACCUCUGAGUCUGAGGAUGACCUCCCUGCAAUACUGAGGGCUGCACGCGAGACACAAAGUGACAGCUCUAGUGACAGUUCCGGCAACUCCCAUAAAAAAAGGCGAGUGCAGGAAGAAGAAAGUAGUCGCAUCUUGAAAACCCCAGCCCCCAUUUCUGGUAAUGGAAAAUAUAACUGGCCAUGGUUGGAUUGAAACUUUAUUCAAUAAAAAUUAAUAUACAAGUAAUGUUUUUGGGUUGUGUAAUGCUUUGGUUAUGUAUCCAGCAGAUUUUGUAUCCAUUGUUAGUUCACUGCUCCUCAUGGGGUUUCUAUCAAUCACCAGGUAUUUGGGGUUAGUGGCGCGGGAGAUGGCCACAUAAGCAUGGCUAUGCUGGAGGGUCUUAUAUUUUCCAAAGGCUACAGCAACCUUACUCAGAGACAUGCCCUGAGCCUUGACAAUCGUCAUAGCCAAUUUUGAACUUAUUCCAUAAUCUCCUGUGCAGCCCAGCACCAUUGAUGAGCCAUCUUCCAGUAUUUCUGUUAUUUUGUUAAAGUUGGUGUUCAAACAUGAUAUGAAUCCCAUGGAAUCUUGUACAAUGAUCAUUGGCAUAGUCUUUGACAUAUAAUCACUUCUCUGUGAGAACUGUUUGCCAAAACUAACUGACACGAAGGUGUACCCUUUGAGUUGGUAAGACUCCACGGUGGAGGCAUAAUCCAAUAACCCAGUUAUGACUGUCUCUGUAGAUGUAAAUUCCACAUCAUCCCUUAUAUGAAUAUUAGUAGUAUAUGUGCUGAACGGCUGCAAUAGAAAUUCUUCCCCAAAGUGGUCGGUGGCCACUUGGAGCCUAUCUAAAUAAACCUGUUUUAUAGCAGAGUACCAAUUGAUUAUCUCUGUAAUGGUGCUCUGACUGGGCAAGGGAGGCUGGGUAGCCAACAAAUAAAAUAUGUCCUCUGUUAAACCCUCCACAGUCUCAUCAUCUGACAGAAGCAGAGAGGGAAUAUUUUGUUCUUGAAUACUUGCCAGGUAUUUUUUGUCUCCAGUCUGAAUGCCAUAGGCAUAAAACUGGUAGAGGGAAUUAAAAAUUAAGGUUGACAGAAAAUUGUACACAUACUUUAUGUUGUCCCUGGUGUGAGAUUCUAAAAAGCCAUCAGAAUCCAACACCUGUUUAAAGGAAGCAUAGGUUCCAGAAUAUCCACAAAUGCACCUUUUGGUUUUACCAUUUAGACUGAUAAAACUAUUUUUGACAUAUUUUGCCUGAUAAGUUAUUCUUGUACAGUCCUCAGUAAUGUCUGUGUUUAUGAUGGUCAUAUCCUGGUCUACAAACUGAGAGUAGUUACUGGCCUUGAACAUAUUUUUCUUCAACCAGUCCAUUAUGGUAAUUUCUGUAAGAUUAACUUUUUCUUUAUAUUUUUGGAAAGUCUGAUUAUAGACCUCACAGACAAUUGGACAGGUAAACAACUUGACCUCAUUAGGUAGUCUGUGGGAUUUUGCAGUCAGGGCCAGAUGCAGGCUGCUUAAAAAUGUUUUAACUUCUUGGUGUGAUACAAAGAGGCGAGUCCAGCCAACAUACUCUAGUGGGUCGCAGAUUUUAGCAUAUGGAACAACAAAUCUAUCAAUAUAUUGCAAUACUUCGUCUGUAACUGGCAGGCCGUACUCCAUAACUUUUAGCAUAUGGGAGAAUUCAGUAUCCAGACAGCGCUUAUUAUUUAUAAAGAGGGCCCAGUUGUUGUCCACAUCGAUGUAUCUCCUCAAAACUUGAUUCUCCAUUAACACUGAUAGUACAUUAUCACAUUUUUGGAUCUCGUUCCUUUGGAGGCUGUGGUUGAAGAUGCUUUGGAUGGCUGAGGUCUGAGUUGGAGAUCCCACACAAACUAUACAGGGAACCUUUCCUUGUCUGUAAAGAGGGGUAGAAAGCCAACUGUUGUAGAACCAAUAAAAGAAAACAAUUGUUGUCAACAUGUAGGAAGGCAGAGUUCCAGCUUCGUCUAUAAUAAUUAUGUUUGUUGUCCACAACUCUGGCUGGCAUGACAGGCACAUAAGUUCAUAUAGCUCCUCAGACAUGUUCUGAUAUUGGUGCAUCUUUUUCUUCUGAGUUAUUUCCUGGAUAAUGUCUGCAACUACACUCCAAUACUUGGCCAGUUCAUACUGCUGAAGCUGCUCUAUUGAGGUGAUGGGAGUUUUGGGGACCUGUCUACAGAGCAUAUUGAUGUGUCUACUCUUGAAUCCAAAUGCCUGGAAAAUUGUGGGACAAUAUGACUUGAGCAUAGAAGACAGAUUCUGAGACGCGGCCACGGUAGCUCCAGUGAUCAGACAGUUUAACUGUUGAUGAAUUGCAGAGACGCUAGUACUUUUUCCCGCCCCAGCAGUCCCUGUGAUUAUAAAGGAUGUGAAUGGGAGCAGAUUCAUGCACUCUUCAUCUAGAGGGUCAUAUUGAGAAUCAUACCAACACAUAUCAGGGAUAUUUGUUGUAACAGUAUUAGAUAGGUCUUCAAUUCUGGUGACUAUCUGGCGAAUUUUGGCAUCUGAGGUCAUGUUCAUGAUGAAUCUGUCAGAGAGUGCCAUGCUUGUCCACCCAACCAAGAAUUCGAUGCAGUUGUUUGAAUCCCUGAAAGGAAAAUAUGUUUAUGUGAAUGGACAGUCUGUGUACACUAGUCUAAGGUCAUCGGGGAUGUUCUCCAAACAAUUAUUUCUUCAUCUGUAUAGAUUUGCUCUAAACUCAUGCACUUAUGAGACCCUGUUUACCAGCUGGGCCAACUUUCACAAUACCAUGAGAAAAAAAUGGAAAAAGGGAACUACAUCAGAGGAUUUUCUAGCAUCAUCAUAUGCUUCUUGGGUAGCAACACUUAAAUUAACCCUGGAGAGGCUGGCAUUACCACUAAUCAAUCAACUGCAAUAUUCCAGAAACCUCAUUUCUUAUGAGAGAUACAUAGACUGGGUAACAACCCUCGGGGUGGUCCCAGUAGCACAGGUUCCUGAAAACAAAACAACAAUCCAACAUUUGGAGGACAACUUAAAGGUACUAGUGAACACCUCAGGCCCUGGUGACAAAGUCAUAACUGAAAUGAUCUCUAGCCUGAUACAGGAGAUGAAAGUGAUCCUCAAAACAUUAAGUUCACUGUACAUACCUGAUUACUCAGAAGUCUCAAUACAUAAAAAUUUGGAAUCUGGUGAGUGGUUUGGAAUAUACAAAUCCAAGAGAAUACCAGUAGAAGUAAUGGCCGCUCCAGUUCUUUGUAAAGAAGGAUAUAUGUUUGACAGCUGUGUCCAAAGGGUCUUUCCCACUGUUAUGCAGUGUUACCGGACGCAGGAACAUGCAAAACUCUGCCAACUGCUAAACACCAUUCCUGUUAAAACAAUUGUGGGAAACGCGCAAUCUCCUGGUUACAAGGAUAUCCUGGAACAUUUGGAAAAGUCCAACAGCAAAACAGACCCUAAAAAGGAACUGUUGAACCUUUUAAUUAAUUUGGCAGAGAAUAAAACAGUCUCUGGAGUCACUGACGUGGUUGAAGAUUUUAUCAGUGAUGUGUCAAACAAUUUAAUUGAUAGGAAUAAACUUUUUGGCAACAGCAAUGAAACCACGUGUGCUGGAUUAAAAAAACAGGUCUCCAACUCUGUUUUCAAAUGCUUGACUAAGCAGAUAAAUGAGCAAUUUGACACAAUAGCUGACCUUAAAAAGGAACGAGAGCUGUAUCUGGCAAGACUCCAGACGGUUGAGUCACACCUACUAAGAAUAGCACGCAACGAAAAGAGUAUUCAUGAUGUGGAUGUUAACCUUCUCACUGCAGACACUAUGGAAAGUCUCUCUGAGGUGAGAGACUUGAAUUUGUUGUCCUCAACAACUGAAGUGCCUAAUGGAAAAAGUGUUCUAAAUAGCUUUUUUUCUCAGUAUGUUCCCCCCUUUAGAGAGCUUGGAAAAGAUCUAGCAAACCUCUGGGAGAGUGAGUUAAUGAGUACCUUCAAACUUGUUCCCGAGGUGGAUCCCCAAGGAAAGAUGAUAUGUGUUAGGUACACCCCAGACACUGUUUCACUUUUACUUGGACCAUUCACUUAUGUAAUAACCAAGCUUACAAGCAUGGAUUUGAUCAGAGAUGAUAUGACAUCACAAUCUGUCCAUGGAUUGGUUGAUAUAGUGUACAAGGAGAGCAGACUGUUAGUCUAUAUAACUGACAUUGGCUCCAAGUUGGGCACAGAAGUCCAAUUAUCCACGGACGGAGUAGAGGUGCUGCCACCAUGAUCUCUUCAAACAUUAGAGAAGCAAGAACUGUCAUCCUUCCCAGGCUGAUGUUGGAAAUAACAUCCAAUGGGACUCUUACUGUGGCCUCACAUACUCCAAUUUUUCAGAAAUUAUCUCUCCUGGAUCUACCCAGCCUCACCGCUCAUCUGAAAACCAAGCUAUCAGGAUCAAUGUUUAAAGGCUUUCUUUUUGCCACAUUGUGUGAAACAGAGGAUCAUGUCACGACCUUGGAUAUGCAUCCACACGUUUUUGAGAAAAGGCUGGUUUUAUACAACCCCAGAAAUACCUGUAACAAGGAGCUAUGUGCACUGAUUUCCAUGGUGGAAAACUUAAUGGAUUGUGACCCCAAAUUGCCUUUGUCUAUUUAUAUGAGGGGGAAAAGAUUGUUUCAGAAGAAUCCCGGUAAAGAUUCCUGUUUUCUCUUUAAGGGAUUGUCUACUUUGAUAUCCACCCACUUUGCUGUUUAUCACCCAAAUUUCACAGUCAAUGAUGAAUUACUACUGCCUCCCCUCUUGGCCUACAAGAUGCAUUCAACCAUUGAGGGAAUUGAUGAAGUAUCCAAGGGACUCCUGAAAGCAAUUUACCUGGACUCUUACAGAAUGGACAAUAACAUAGAUGAUUUUCAAAACCCAGCGGGGACAUUCACACUUCUGUGCUUGCCCACCAUUUUUACUAAACACCUCACUGUCCCAAAUGUUCUAAUCCUGAUAAAACGCGCAGGGUUGAUGUAUGAGGCCAUAGACAACAUUAUUUUAUGAUAAAUUUAAUAAAGUUUCAUAAUUUGACAAU